Molecule: long non-coding RNA, 270 nt
Filed under: Elaeis guineensis (African oil palm)
Lineage: Eukaryota; Viridiplantae; Streptophyta; Magnoliopsida; Arecales; Arecaceae
Description: long non-coding RNA (EGUI_LNC040789)
Source: RNAcentral
CCAUCCAUCCACUUUUAUAGAUCUUAAAGCACUAUAUCUUCUAUCAUCCAUCCAUUUGCACAGAUCUCACAGUAUUCUAUCUACUGUUAUUCAUCUAUCCGUGCAAAUCUCAAAGCUCUCGAUCCAUCUGCACAGAUCUUAAAGUACUUUGAUCUCUAUCAUUCAUCUAUUUGCAUGAAUUUUAAAGUAUUCUGUCCAUUAUUAUCCAUCCAAUUGGCAUAAAUUUCAAAGCACUACUUUCCUUCUGUUAUCUUUUCUAUUGACAAAAGC